Mus caroli (Ryukyu mouse) is the source of this 988-nucleotide long non-coding RNA. RefSeq lists it as uncharacterized. The record is from RefSeq and is a predicted model, not a curated record. Lineage: Eukaryota; Metazoa; Chordata; Mammalia; Rodentia; Muridae.
CACUCAUCUCUGUUGCAAGUGACAUUAGCCAAGGCAGCUUGUCGGGCAUGAGGGAGGGAGUGGGCCCAAUUCCCACAUGACCCAUUUGCAUGUUGGGGCUGGCUAUUUGCUUAGAGUUUACCCUGGGUUAGGGGUCAAGGCCAAUAUCCCCCUAAGAAGACCUCCAUGUGCCCUGAUUUCCUCAUUAUAUGGUGACUGGAGCCAUCCUACCCAGUGAGGACCUCAGCCUUUUCGAAUCAGCUCAGUAAGGCCUAGGAUGUCUGUAGGAGCUUCCAUGACCACAUGCAGUCACUGAAGAGGGCCAAGAGAGUGAAUGAUCAUAGGUUACUUACAACCAACAGGGGAAGAAGCUGACAGAGGUCAUUUCUCAAAUUAACCAGCACGCCAGCUUCUGUCUCAGACCUCUCUCGGGAGACCCCCUGAAUAACACGUUGCUUCAGGAACAGGAGAGAACUGAGGAAGACAGAGGUUAAGAGACUUGGCCUAAGAUUUGAAGCUUGGGAACCUCAGCAGACUGGUUUCAAAGCCUGAGUGUGUUUUGUUUUUGUUGUAAUUUUAAUUUCCUUCACAAAAAAGCAUCCGACAUGGAAGUCAAUUUGAAAGGACUCCCACUAACAAAAACAGGAAAAAAAAUCUAUCAUCGAAGAAAUUACAUCACAGCCAGGCAAGAUUCAGCAGGAGCAGUUCACCAUUGCUCCACAUGGUGGCAGCUGAGUGGCUUGAUCACAAGGACUCCUGGGUUCAUUUCCAAGAUGGCUCCUUCCCAGGAAGGACAAAUGGAUGCUGAACCAUCAGCUGAGGAUUCUUCUCCACGGGUUGAAUCCAGAUGUGCAUUUCUUUACCAGAAGUGGUAGCAAGACAGGUGCAAGCCUGUGAAAAUGGCAUUUAGUGCUAGGAAGUGGUUCAGAGAUGAUGUCUUCUGUAGGGACAGAAGUUAUUCAUAACUGGUGCAACCAUAUGAAAAUUUUGUGACACAAAUUUUCCAUUA